CACGGAGUUAGCCGGUGCUUAUUCACAAGGUACCGUCAAGCUCAGUACGCGUACUGAUUGUUCUUCCCUUAUAAAAGCCGUUUACAACGCUGAGCGCCUUCUUCCGGCACGCGGCGUGGCUGGGUCAGCGUUUCCGCCAUUGCCCAAUAUUCCCUACUGCUGCCUCCCGUAGGAGUCUGGCCCGUAUCUCAGUGCCAGUGUGGGGGAUCUUCCUCUCAGAACCCCCUACUGAUCAUCGCCUUGGUAGUCCCUUACACUACCAACUAGCUAAUCAGACGGGCAGGCCCAUCUUUACCAAUGAAUCUUUACCAGUUGCUUGAUGCCAAACUGCUGGCUUAUGCGGUAUUAGCGAUGGUUCCCAUCGUUACUCCCCCAGUAAAGGCAGGUUGCCUACGCGUUACGCACCCGUGCGCCACUAGACUGACCAUUGCUGGUCAAUCUCGUUCGACUUGCAUGUAUUACGGCCCCGCCGCUAGCGUUCACUCCUGACGCCGAGGACUACUAAA
RNAcentral lists this ribosomal RNA (506 nucleotides) under uncultured Sphingobacteriales bacterium. RNAcentral's name for it is "partial 16S ribosomal RNA". Lineage: Bacteria; Pseudomonadati; Bacteroidota; Sphingobacteriia; Sphingobacteriales. The record is from RNAcentral.